Molecule: long non-coding RNA, 2639 nt
Organism: Synchiropus splendidus (mandarinfish)
Lineage: Eukaryota; Metazoa; Chordata; Actinopteri; Syngnathiformes; Callionymidae
Exons: 5
Source: RefSeq, a predicted model, not a curated record
CCACAGAGUCCUUCUCUCCUGGGGUAGGGAUGACAGGAAGUCAGCCAGAUGGCACGGUGAAGGUCUGCAGCAUGUGACCUCGUCUCUGGAGAGAAGAGGAGGAGAGGCGGGAGGAGAGAGGAGGAGAAAGAGGAGGGGGAGCGAACCUGUUGAGCUCAAGUAGCCCUGGAGUCGGCGAGGCGCCGAGGCCUGUGCUAACCUCCAGCUCCUCACCUCUGCAUUCCAACUCGCGAUGAUGUGUCGGGCGAUAGACUGACUCCCUUAACCUGCCGCCCAGCGCCGUGAUCUUCCCCAGGUGGAAGGAGAUGGAAGAGGCCACAGAGAUCCAGACUGGAAUUCCCACGUCAUCCAUCACUCCUGGCGCAGCAACCAGCGUGUGGCUGCUGGCAGCUGCUCAGCUUCCUUUCAGCACGCGGCGGGAUCUGCGCCUCCAUCUGAGCGCCAGCGAGAAGGGCGAAAAUAACGAGAGGAGAGGAGGAGGAAGAGCAAGAGAGGUGAGGUGGAUGAGCCAGGGGGAGGGCUGCAGGAGAAAGGGGGAGGCCUGAGAAGACAGAUGCCACCACUGCGGCCGUGGCAUUGUGGGGUAUUAAUAGCCCAGAGCCACGUCGUGCCAGCCUCAUUGGGAAGGUGGCGGCCGCCGCGCUGGGUGGCUAGCUCAUGCUAGCAUCAAAAUGAAAGGAGCGGAGGUGUGAAAAAAAAUGCAGCUGGUCAGGAUGGAGUUCUGUAAACAAACCACGGGCCAAGAAUGCACCCACAUGACAGCUUUAUUGAUUUAGCAUCUGUCCUAUAAAAAUCCUCCUCCGUCACCUGGUGGCCUUGAAAACCCUGUUCCUCGGCCCUAAACAGAGCAUCCUCACCCAGUCACUCUAGCACAGUGUUUCAAGUAGGCCACACGGGAACUUCCUGUCUUGUGUUUUUAAGUUACAGACCCACAUUUUACCACAGCGGGGAAAAACCUCAACAACCACUUCCCAACCAUUUCGUCACAAUCGAACAACUAGCUGUGCGAUGACUACAGGACAGUUGGGUGUGCAUGCAUCGCUUCAAUGAGUGUGGGAAUUGAUCCUAGUUACUCAGAUACAAGUCAAUAAUAUCUAUAACAUCCUCUUCUCCUCAGUAUUUUUCCAUCAGUCACUGCAGCAUCUGAAUUUUUUGACUUUUUUUGGGGGAGUGAUUUUAACGUUGCUUUGGCCCAGCUCUUCUCUGCCGUCUCACGGAACUUGUGGGGAGUUGAUCCUCCGCCUCAGAGUCCUCAAUGCUGCAUGAUUGAUUACCUGUGAGUCCAAGGCAUAUCUGUCAUUGACUGAGAUGCUGUGCUGAAGGGCAGGCAGGAAGUGUUACUGAGGAAGUGCUUUGUGCAUUUCACUUCAUUCUAAACACUCUGAUGACGGGGGUCACCUCAUCACCCUCUAUUGACCAGGGACUGUCACUGAUCAUUCGUAGUGCCAAGUGUUCUGGAGCUCAAUAGGUGGCGCUGUCAGUGAUAUGAGGUUUUUCAAACCCAUGGAUUACAAUGAAGAGGCCCACUGUUUCGUGAAACCUGCCCUGCCCAUCACACACACAACACAUCUUUGCUCCUCACCUGUGCCAGCUCCACCUCCUUAUCCACACCGGUCUGUUCUCUUUUCACAAAAAUAACUCACCGUUCCUCUCCAUGGGCACGCACUUUCCUUGCCUGCCCACCAACACGUCUUUGUUGCCAAGCUGGACAACAUACCAAAAACAGGCAGUACAACUUCCUCCUCCUGCCCGCCUGUGGCGCUGCCAUCGUGUAGACACCUAUAAAGCCACUAUCUCAGCGUCUCAGCUCUCCAGUGGUGCACCAGUCUCCCUGCAGGUCCUGGUCCCCUCUCCUUCUUUUCAUACCCACGCUCCCUGCUGUGUCCGCAGUGGUGGAACUGUUGAUAUCACAAAUAUGAAGUCGCUCUCAUCCGCUCUGCUCGGUGCGUUAGCAGAACGGAAGCGUGUAUUGAUGAAGUUUGCCGGUCACUUUCCCUCCAUAACUCACUUAAUCAAUGGGAGUGCAGUGAUGGCUCUUCAGUUUCUAUCGACCUGCUCCAGCUCACUCCUGAUUUAGUAAAUAAAACUUUCCCCCGGACCGCUUCAUUGUUUCCCCUCCAUAUUCCUGGCCGUUAUAAAAGUUUAUAUCCUGACGUGGCUGCGCGCUGAUGUCCCUCGCAGGAGCGCUAACAUCGCUGCACCUGAAUAAUUCAGCCAUGCUCCGCUGCCCCUCACUCACUGUUUGGAGAAGCAGGUAAUGAGAAAAGCUAUAAAACGCCUCGCCGGCUUUUGCUGCCAGAAGGAGAGGGAAAAAAAACAAAAAAAACGAGGAAAACUAGAUCCAGUUCAUAAGGAGAGACACUGAAGAUGGGUUUUUUUUCCUGCUGAUUUACUGUAAAUGGAAGCAUGAGAGCACAAAGGGAGGAGAACUUCAAAAGCAUGACCUGCAUAUUUUGAGUCAAUUAGAUGUUUCUAAUGUUACUGUGGAGGUGCGAUGCUCAGCCGAGCGUCCUGGGCCGGAACAAAAGAGGGGAAUGUGUCGGAGUGGCUUCCCUCUUGAUCAUUCGGCGUUUUCCAAGGUGUAAACAUGAAACUGCUCAGGGAGGAAUCAUCCAAGCAGGGCAACCGCUGGCAGCAGU